AGGGAAGAAGCUACAAUUACAGCAAUUAGUUGUUACCUAAUAGAAAGUGAAUAUUCUCACCUCCCCUAC
Molecule: transfer RNA, 69 nt
Filed under: Cuneopsis celtiformis
Lineage: Eukaryota; Metazoa; Mollusca; Bivalvia; Unionida; Unionidae
Description: tRNA-Asn
Source: RNAcentral